UACGUAGGGGACGAGCGUUGUCCGGAAUUACUGGGCGUAAAGGGCGCGCAGGCUGUGCUGCAAGUCAGCUGUGAAAUGUCUGGGCUUAACCCGGGCAUGCGGUUGAGACUGCAGUGCUGGAGUGCUGUAGAGGCAAGUGGAUUCCCAGUGUAGCGGUGAAAUGCGUAGAUAUUGGGAAGAACACCGGUGGCGAAGGCGACUUGCUGGGCAGCAACUGACGCUGAGGCGCGAAAGCGUGGGGAGCAAA
This 247-nucleotide ribosomal RNA is filed under the name uncultured prokaryote. Its description in RNAcentral is "partial 16S ribosomal RNA". It matches the Rfam family "Bacterial small subunit ribosomal RNA", at positions 524 to 772 of the family's 1533-position model. The record is from RNAcentral.